AUCCCAGCUUGCUGGGGGAUUAGUGGCGAACGGGUGAGUAACACGUGAGUAACCUGCCCUUAACUCUGGGAUAAGCCUGGGAAACUGGGUCUAAUACCGGAUAUGACUCCUCAUCGCAUGGUGGGGGUGGAAAGCUUUAUUGUGGUUUUGGAUGGACUCGCGGCCUAUCAGCUUGUUGGUGAGGUAAUGGCUCACCAAGGCGACGACGGGUAGCCGGCCUGAGAGGGUGACCGGCCACACUGGGACUGAGACACGGCCCAGACUCCUACGGGAGGCAGCAGUGGGGAAUAUUGCACAAUGGGCGAAAGCCUGAUGCAGCGACGCCGCGUGAGGGAUGACGGCCUUCGGG
Molecule: ribosomal RNA, 349 nt
Filed under: uncultured bacterium
Lineage: Bacteria
Description: bacterial SSU rRNA
Rfam family: Bacterial small subunit ribosomal RNA
Source: RNAcentral